Molecule: long non-coding RNA, 3395 nt
Organism: Asparagus officinalis (garden asparagus)
Lineage: Eukaryota; Viridiplantae; Streptophyta; Magnoliopsida; Asparagales; Asparagaceae
Exons: 9
Source: RefSeq, a predicted model, not a curated record
AGGUUCAACCUAGACCAGGUGAUUUUGUCUCUAGCCUUAGUUUCAGUCCUAAUGUAAAUCAUAUGUUGGCCAGCUGGGAUAAUCAGGUUAGGUGCUGCGAGAUUAUGGAAGGUAGCAGUCAGACAAAGACAGUCAUCUCUCAAUAGUAACAGGUAUGUGUAUAUAUUGUUUAUCAACUGGCUUAAAACCCGUAUGCAAAAUUGGAAAAACACGAUUAUUGCUAACAUAGAAUUUGCGAUGCCUUGGGUUCUGUGUUCUACUCUGAAGGAUGAUAGUUUCACGAUGUUUACUGGAGGACAUGAUAAAAUUUAUCCUUUAUUGAAUGUUGCUCGUAACGUCUGGUGGCCAUCCUAUGCAUUCAUCAUUUAUGAUCCUAAUACCUAAACAAUCCCUCAGUCAACACAAUAGAAGUCCCACUGUAUGAUUCAAAUAUGAUAAAGUUCCAUUUCAUUUUAAGCUUCACUGGUUGGUUCUUCUUCCUCUCUUGAAACCGUUCAUGAAUUUGGAUUCUUCUUGCCGUUUAUCUGGGUGAGAUCAAUAGAGGGAAGGUCAGGCAUACACCAUCUGGACAAUGCACUGCAAAGUUCACAUUCAAAUGUUACAGGGACGGGCUGAGAUAUAUCUGUGAACUCGUUGAUUUUCCAUCCAGUAAGUAUAUUUUUCAUACUAUCUAUACCUAGUUAGUUUGGUUUUAAUUUUCAUGGACUAAAUGACUGUUAUGGUAAUGGGAUAUUCCAUUGUUUCUGCUUGUGUCAUUUUUGUUGGCACGUAUUCAUGCGGUUGCCUGAUCUAAUAGUUUAUCCACCUAUAGAAGGUUCUGUGUCAUUUUAAAGUUUAAUGGGUUAUUUGCCGGUAUUGUUGUUUUUGAGAAAACCUAAAUGAUUCGAUCAAAGUCGCUUGUAUUUAAGCCUCAACAUCUUUCAUAUGAAGGUAGUCUGGCUAUGUACUGAUAGUUUGAUUAUGAUUUGACCAUUGUAUUGCAUAUAGAUAUGAUUGUGUUUUGUACAUAAUAUUAAGCAGCUGGUUCAAGAAUAAUCUUCCAUUUUUUAAUUGUCAUUGUUGACAUUCCAUAUUGUGUAAAUUAACAUGGAAAUGAUGGGGCUUGGGCAGCUUGGACGUUUUAUGGAGGAUUCUGCAUCCACUACUGAAGAAAAAGAUGAGGCUGAACUGAGGUGACGGGAGGAUUCUGCAUCCACCGCUGAAGAAACAGAUAAGGUGGACUGAGGUAAAUCAUACUUUUGCAUCCGCUUGCUCUUAUGGCACAUUCAAUUUUUGGAUAAGGACAAUAUUCAGAGACUGAAGGUAUGCACACCUACAUGCUCUCUUUCUUUUGUUCUUGUCUCCUCAACACACUAUUUGGUUCACUUAAACAAUCUUCAGCAUCACACAUGCUUAAUUUCUGGUAGUGGACAUGGAAAAAAAGCAAACAUUGUAUUUAUUAAUAAUAUUAUAUUAUGUAACAUAUAAGAAAAUUCAUUACACUGAAAUUGAUAUAUAAUAAGUUCAGGGUAUGCAUUUGAAUUACCUUGAAUUCACUCAGGAUAAUCAUAUCUUAAAUUUACUUUCCGGAGAAGUUCUCUACCUGAGGGCGAACCUUGACAUAGCAUUAUAGUUGCUGCCUUGUGACUUGGAGGUCACAAGUUUGAAUCUCAGAAAUAGCCUCUCCGCAUACGAGGUAAGGCUGCGUACAUUUGACCCUUCCCAGAGCCUACAAUGGUGGGAGCCUCGUGCAUUGCCCUUAGAUAGUUUUCUACCUUUUUAAGAUGCAGUUCGGGUUGAAGUUAAUUGGUGUUCUCUAGUAAUUACCAAAAGCUAGCAUAAUGUCAUUUGUAAUUAAUCCACUGGAUGAAUGGGAACAUGCUGUUGAUUCUACUAAUGAAGUUUCUUUUUUUUUCCAUAAAAAAGCAUCCUCUUCUAGAAAUUUGGUUGGUUUUCUGUCCGACUCAAAUAGAAACGGAUGGAGUCGUUUCAUGAGGCCAUAGAUCCUGUUGGAUCACUGGAAAUCAUGGACCUGAAGGAGAAAAGUGCUUGUUGAUCUGUGACAUUGUUGUGAUAACAAGGAGCUGGCAUGUCGGGUUGAGAGAAGAAUAGUGUUGCAAACACUGAAAAAACUAUUAACAGAUGUGCCAUUGGAAUGAUAUUAUAUACACAACUUUUAAUUUGGAAAUGCUUGAGAGACGCAAUUUCAAAAGCUGAAACAAUUAACUAUAUAUACAUGAUCCAUCGCGAUAUAUGAUGCAGGUAAUUGAGUUUGUUGCCGGAUGAUGUUGACAUAAUUAUUACAAUGUUUAUCCUUUCGACCAUUUUGAUGUAUUGUACUGAAUUUAUUCUGGCUAUAUCAUGAGGUCAGCUGUGAUUUGAGUAAACGUGCUGAAAAUCAUAACCAAACAUACAUCUAUCUUCACAGCCCACAGGAGGAUGAGGUCAAAGGAAAACCAUGUCUUGCAAUUUGUAGAAAGUUCUGUGCUCUAGCUAUACUUGGAAGGAUGAUGGUUCCGUUGUGUUUACUAGAGGAUGUGAUAAGAUCAUGAAAAUGUGGCCCUUGACGUCUGGUGUCACUUCACGCAAGUCACCGCACAUGAUGCACCUGAUGAUAGAAGUUGCUUGGAUUGACCUGUUGAAUUGUCUAGUGAUGGUGAUCUGUCAUAAGACAUUGAUGAGGUUCAAUGUAGACCCAAUGAGUCUGUCCCCAGCCUUAGUUUCAGUCCUAAGGCAAUUUACUUUGUGGUCACUUAGUAGGAUAAUCAACUUUGUUCUACUAAGAGGUUAGGUGCUGGGAGAUUAUGGCAGGGAGCGUUCUGUCAAGGGCAGCUAUGUCCCAUUAUCAACCGGUUCUAUGCUCUUCUCAGAAGGAUGAUGAGUCCACAGUUCUUACUGUAAGAUGUGAUAAUAUUGCCAAAAUGUUGCCCUUAGUGUCUGGUGGCCAACCAAUGCAAGAUGUUGCACAUUAUGCACCUGUCAAAGAAGUUACUUGGACUGAACAGUUGAAUUGCAUAGUGCAACCUGGACCUAUUGACUUUUAUAUCUUGAGUGAUCUGCAGGUUAGGUGCUAAGAGAUUAUGGCAGGUAGAAGUCAGGCAAAGGCAGCCAUAUCCCAAGAUGUAUGCUUUAUGCUUAUAUGUUAAGCAAUUGUUUCAAAACAUUUCAUGCAACAAUCGGAAAAAGAAUCAUUAUUUGUCAACAUUUCAGUUGGCGUGCUUUAUGUUUUUUGCCCUACUUGGAAGGGUGAUGGUUCCAUAGUGUUUAGUAGAGGAUAUGGUAAAGAUUGUCAAAAUGUGACCCUUGACAUCUGGUGGCCAAUCUAUGUGAGUUGCUGUGCAUGAUGCACCUGGCAACGAAGUUGCUUGGAUUGCACAGUUGAAUUGCCUAGUCACUGGGAGCUGGCAUAAGACAAU